RNAcentral lists this ribosomal RNA (1410 nucleotides) under Streptomyces gardneri. RNAcentral describes it as "bacterial SSU rRNA". It matches the Rfam family "Bacterial small subunit ribosomal RNA". The record is from RNAcentral. Lineage: Bacteria; Bacillati; Actinomycetota; Actinomycetes; Kitasatosporales; Streptomycetaceae.
CUUGAGAUGCUCCUCGACGAUGAAGCCCUUCGGGGUGGAUUAGUGGCGUAACGGGUGAGUAACACGUGGGCAAUCUGCCCUUCACUCUGGGACAAGCCCUGGAAACGGGGUCUAAUACCGGAUAACACCGGCCUCCGCAUGGAGGCUGGUUGAAAGCUCCGGCGGUGAAGGAUGAGCCCGCGGCCUAUCAGCUUGUUGGUGGGGUAAUGGCCCACCAAGGCGACGACGGGUAGCCGGCCUGAGAGGGCGACCGGCCACACUGGGACUGAGACACGGCCCAGACUCCUACGGGAGGCAGCAGUGGGGAAUAUUGCACAAUGGGCGAAAGCCUGAUGCAGCGACGCCGCGUGAGGGAUGACGGCCUUCGGGUUGUAAACCUCUUUCAGCAGGGAAGAAGCGAAAGUGACGGUACCUGCAGAAGAAGCGCCGGCUAACUACGUGCCAGCAGCCGCGGUAAUACGUAGGGCGCAAGCGUUGUCCGGAAUUAUUGGGCGUAAAGAGCUCGUAGGCGGCUUGUCACGUCGGGUGUGAAAGCCCGGGGCUUAACCCCGGGUCUGCAUCCGAUACGGGCAGGCUAGAGUGUGGUAGGGGAGAUCGGAAUUCCUGGUGUAGCGGUGAAAUGCGCAGAUAUCAGGAGGAACACCGGUGGCGAAGGCGGAUCUCUGGGCCAUUACUGACGCUGAGGAGCGAAAGCGUGGGGAGCGAACAGGAUUAGAUACCCUGGUAGUCCACGCCGUAAACGUUGGGAACUAGGUGUUGGCGACAUUCCACGUCGUCGGUGCCGCAGCUAACGCAUUAAGUUCCCCGCCUGGGGAGUACGGCCGCAAGGCUAAAACUCAAAGGAAUUGACGGGGGCCCGCACAAGCAGCGGAGCAUGUGGCUUAAUUCGACGCAACGCGAAGAACCUUACCAAGGCUUGACAUAUACCGGAAAGCAUUAGAGAUAGUGCCCCCCUUGUGGUCGGUAUACAGGUGGUGCAUGGCUGUCGUCAGCUCGUGUCGGGAAAUGUUGGGUUAAGUCCCGCAACGAGCGCAACCCUUGUCCUGUGUUGCCAGCAUGCCCUUCGGGGUGAUGGGGACUCACAGGAGACCGCCGGGGUCAACUCGGAGGAAGGUGGGGACGACGUCAAGUCAUCAUGCCCCUUAUGUCUUGGGCUGCACACGUGCUACAAUGGCCGGUACAAAGAGCUGCGAUGCCGCGAGGCGGAGCGAAUCUCAAAAAGCCGGUCUCAGUUCGGAUUGGGGUCUGCAACUCGACCCCAUGAAGUCGGAGUUGCUAGUAAUCGCAGAUCAGCAUUGCUGCGGUGAAUACGUUCCCGGGCCUUGUACACACCGCCCGUCACGUCACGAAAGUCGGUAACACCUGAAGCCGGUGGCCCAACCCCUUGUGGGAGGGAACUUGGAAUAGUGA